AUUGAACGCUGGCGGCAUGCUUUACACAUGCAAGUCGAACGGCAGCACGGGGCAACCUGGUGGCGAGUGGCGAACGGGUGAGUAAUAUAUCGGAACGUACCCAAGAGUGGGGGAUAACGUAGCGAAAGUUACGCUAAUACCGCAUACGAUCUAAGGAUGAAAGCAGGGGAUCUUCGGACCUUGUGCUCCUGGAGCGGCCGAUAUCUGAUUAGCUAGUUGGUGAGGUAAAGGCUCACCAAGGCGACGAUCAGUAGCUGGUCCGAGAGGACGACCAGCCACACUGGAACUGAGACACGGUCCAGACUCCUACGGGAGGCAGCAGUGGGGAAUUUUGGACAAUGGGCGCAAGCCUGAUCCAGCAAUGCCGCGUGAGUGAAGGAGGCCUUCGGGUUGUAAAGCUCUUUUGUCAGGGAAGAAACGGUUGUGGCUAAUAUCCAUGGCUAAUGACGGUACCUGAAGAAUAAGCACCGGCUAACUACGUGCCAGCAGCCGCCGUAA
This 498-nucleotide ribosomal RNA is filed under the name uncultured bacterium. RNAcentral's name for it is "partial 16S ribosomal RNA". It matches the Rfam family "Bacterial small subunit ribosomal RNA", at positions 30 to 523 of the family's 1533-position model. The record is from RNAcentral.